AAUAGAUACCCGGGUAGUCCACGCCGUAAACGGUGGGCACUAGAUGUGGGGUUCAUUCCAUGGGAUUCCGGCGUCGCAGCUAACGCAUUAAGUGCCCCGCCUGGGGAGUACGGCCGCAAGGCUAAAACUCAAAGGAAUUGACGGGGGGCCCGCACAAGCGGCGGAGCAUGCGGAUUAAUUCGAUGCAACGCGAAGAACCUUACCAAGGCUUGACAUAUACGGUCUAUCCCUAGAGAUAGGGAGUGCUUCGGCGCCGUAUACAGGUGGUGCAUGGUUGUCGUCAGCUCGUGUCGUGAGAUGUUGGGUUAAGUCCCGCAACGAGCGCAACCCUCGUUCUAUGUUGCCAGCACGUAAUGGUGGGGACUCAUAGAAGACUGCCGGGGUACAACUCGGAGGAAGGUGGGGAUGAGGUCAAAUCAUCAUGCCCCUUAUGUCUUGGGCUUCACGCAUGCUACAAUGGCCGGUACAAAGGGCUGCAAUACCGUAAGGUGGAGCGAAUCCAAAAGCCGGUCUCAGUUCGGAUUGAGGU
This 529-nucleotide ribosomal RNA is filed under the name uncultured bacterium. RNAcentral describes it as "bacterial SSU rRNA". It matches the Rfam family "Bacterial small subunit ribosomal RNA", at positions 777 to 1304 of the family's 1533-position model. The record is from RNAcentral.